This 561-nucleotide ribosomal RNA is filed under the name uncultured bacterium. Its description in RNAcentral is "bacterial SSU rRNA". It matches the Rfam family "Bacterial small subunit ribosomal RNA", at positions 367 to 922 of the family's 1533-position model. The record is from RNAcentral.
CACAAUGGGCGAAAGCCUGAUGCAGCCAUGCCGCGUGUAUGAAGAAGGCCUUCGGGUUGUAAAGUACUUUCAGUUGUGAGGAAGGGUGUGUAGUUAAUAGCUGCGCAUCUUGACGUUAGCAACAGAAGAAGCACCGGCUAACUCCGUGCCAGCAGCCGCGGUAAUACGGAGGGUGCGAGCGUUAAUCGGAAUUACUGGGCGUAAAGCGCAUGCAGGUGGUUCAUUAAGUCAGAUGUGAAAGCCCGGGGCUCAACCUCGGAACUGCAUUUGAAACUGGUGAACUAGAGUGCUGUAGAGGGGGGUAGAAUUUCAGGUGUAGCGGUGAAAUGCGUAGAGAUCUGAAGGAAUACCAGUGGCGAAGGCGGCCCCCUGGACAGACACUGACACUCAGAUGCGAAAGCGUGGGGAGCAACAGGAUUAGAUACCCUGGUAGUCCACGCCGUAAAUGUGUCUGGAGUGGGCUGACCGGUUCGACUCGUGGCUUAUAACGCGAAUGCCCUAGAUAGACCGCCUGAUGAGUACGCACGCGAGUGUAAAACUCACGCGAAUUACUAUUGGGCU